This 421-nucleotide long non-coding RNA is filed under the name Mytilus galloprovincialis (Mediterranean mussel). The record is from RNAcentral. Lineage: Eukaryota; Metazoa; Mollusca; Bivalvia; Mytilida; Mytilidae.
AGUAUAAUACUGCAAUGUCACUAUAUUUAAAUCUAGUCAUAAAAAAUCACCAAAGUCUAAUCACAAUACAAGACAAGAACAGACAGACAGAUACGGUAUUAAUAAUUAUGAGAAUUACGAUUUUUGCUUUAUCCUACAUAUCGGUCUUUUAAUGUUGUCUCUAAUACCUAAAAGUCCUAAAUCACGAUGAAUCUUUGUUUUUGCUUUGGGACCUGAUUGUCGAAAAAAUAUCUAAAAAUUAAUUAAGCCGUUUCAAUGCAAGAAAGAGUCUGGGAAACGCUCAGAAUGCACGAUUUUGCGUUAUUUUUCUCAGAGCUUCUGGGGGCCUUAAGCGGCCCCCAGACCCCUCGCCCAAAAUUUUCGCCUCGCUCCGCUCGGCGAAUAUAUUUUGCCUCACUUUUAAAAGAGGCUAGUUACGGCC